RNAcentral lists this ribosomal RNA (172 nucleotides) under uncultured bacterium. RNAcentral's name for it is "partial 16S ribosomal RNA". It matches the Rfam family "Bacterial small subunit ribosomal RNA", at positions 335 to 524 of the family's 1533-position model. The record is from RNAcentral.
ACUCCUACGGGAGGCAGCAGUGGGGAAUAUUGCACAAUGGGCGGAAGCCUGAUGCAGCAACGCCGCGUGCGGGAUGACGGCCUUCGGGUUGUAAACCGCUUUUAUAUGUGACGAAUAUGACGGUAGCAUAUGAAUAAGGAUCGGCUAACUCCGUGCCAGCAGCCGCGGUAAU